GCUGGGGCUCAGUGGCAGAGUGCUUGCCUAGCAUGUGUGAGGCACUGGGUUCGAUCCUCAGCAUCA
This 66-nucleotide transfer RNA is filed under the name Marmota monax (woodchuck). Its description in RNAcentral is "tRNA.Ala". Lineage: Eukaryota; Metazoa; Chordata; Mammalia; Rodentia; Sciuridae. The record is from RNAcentral.